This 64-nucleotide transfer RNA is filed under the name Eptatretus burgeri (inshore hagfish). Its description in RNAcentral is "transfer RNA-Lys". The record is from RNAcentral. Lineage: Eukaryota; Metazoa; Chordata; Myxini; Myxiniformes; Myxinidae. RNAcentral also lists the same sequence under 1 other name.
CAUUAAGAAGCUAGACAAAGCGUUAGUCUUUUAAACUAAAGUCGAUGAACCACAUCCUUAGUGA